Molecule: ribosomal RNA, 332 nt
Filed under: uncultured bacterium
Lineage: Bacteria
Description: bacterial SSU rRNA
Rfam family: Bacterial small subunit ribosomal RNA
Source: RNAcentral
CACGCAGGCGGAUGAUUAAGUCAGGUGUGAAAACUAUGGGCUCAACCCGUAGACUGCACUUGAAACUGGUUAUCUGGAGUCUCGGAGAGGUAAGCGGAAUUCUCGGUGUAGCGGUGAAAUGCGUAGAUAUCGAGAGGAACACCGAUGGCGAAGGCAGCUUACUGGACGGUGACUGACGCUCAUGUGCGAAAGCGUGGGGAGCAAACAGGAUUAGAUACCCUGGUAGUCCACGCCCUAAACUUUGUCGACCAGGCGUCGGGGGUAUCAACCCCCUCGGUGCCAAACCUAACGGAUUAAGUCGACCGCCUGGGGACUAUGCUCGCAAGAGUGAA